RNAcentral lists this ribosomal RNA (384 nucleotides) under uncultured bacterium. RNAcentral's name for it is "bacterial SSU rRNA". It matches the Rfam family "Bacterial small subunit ribosomal RNA", at positions 790 to 1167 of the family's 1533-position model. The record is from RNAcentral.
GUAGUCCACGCCCUAAACGAUGCGCACUAGACCGAUGCGGCUCUGACGUCGUAUUGGUCGUAGAGAAAUUGUAAGUGCGCCGCCUGGGGAGUACGGUCGCAAGGCUAAAACUCAAAGAAAUUGACGGGGGCUCACACAAGCGGUGGAGCAUGUUGCUUAAUUCGAAGCAACGCGAAGAACCUUACCCGGGUUUGACAUACACGGAUUAGUUGGUGGAAACAUCAAUGAGGCCCGCAAGGGUACAACGUGAACAGGUGCUGCAUGGCUGUCGUCAGCUCGUGCUGUGAAGUGUUUGGUUAAGUCCAUUAACGAGCGCAACCCUUGUCGUUAGUUGCUAACAGGUAAUGCUGAGGACUCUAGCGAGACUGCCGGCGUCAAGCCGGA